GAUGAACGCUGGCGGUAUGCUUAACACAUGCAAGUCGAACGGUACCUUCGGGUAUAGUGGCGGACGGGUGAGUAACGCGUGAGAAUCUAUCUUCAGGUCGGGGACAACAGUUAGAAAUGACUGCUAAUACCGGAUGUGCCGAAAGGUAAAAGAUUUAUUGCCUGAAAAAGAGCUCGCGUCAGAUUAGCUAGUAGGUGGUGUAAGAGACUACCUAGGCUUCGAUCUGUAGCUGGUCUGAGAGGACGAUCAGCCACACUGGAACUGAGACACGGUCCAGACUCCUACGGGAGGCAGCAGUGGGGAAUUUUCCGCAAUGGGCGAAAGCCUGACGGAGCAAUACCGCGUGAGGGACGAAGGCUCUUGGGUCGUAAACCUCUUUUCUCAAGGAAGAUUCAGACGGUACUUGAGGAAUAGGCAUCGGCUAACUCUGUG
Molecule: ribosomal RNA, 432 nt
Filed under: uncultured bacterium
Lineage: Bacteria
Description: partial 16S ribosomal RNA
Rfam family: Bacterial small subunit ribosomal RNA
Source: RNAcentral